UAUGCCGGCUCGAUCCAGCGCCAGGGCACCAAUUCGGAAUUCCAUCUCGUGGAUGAGCGCAUCGUCGGCCACAAGCCGAAGAUGUUGUCGUUCGCCCAGGCGGCCGCCCUGCCCCUGACGUCCAUCACGGCAUGGGAACUGUUGUUCGAUCGCCUCGGGGUUGCGCCGGGCAAGAGUGUCGAUCCGCGCACGCUGCUGAUCAUCGGCGGCGCCGGCGGCGUCG
This 223-nucleotide unclassified non-coding RNA is filed under the name Hevea brasiliensis (rubber tree). Lineage: Eukaryota; Viridiplantae; Streptophyta; Magnoliopsida; Malpighiales; Euphorbiaceae. The record is from RNAcentral.